Molecule: ribosomal RNA, 459 nt
Filed under: Triticum aestivum (bread wheat)
Lineage: Eukaryota; Viridiplantae; Streptophyta; Magnoliopsida; Poales; Poaceae
Description: partial small subunit ribosomal RNA
Source: RNAcentral
AUGGCCCAAGAACACGCUCAUUCUUCGGUAGAGAGACUUUUGAAUUGUGAGGUAUCAUUACGAGCUCAAUAUAUAAGAGUGUUAUUCAAUGAAAUAACUCGAAUUUUAAACCAUUCAUUUGCUAGAACUACUCAUGCUAUGGAUGUGGGAGCAUCAACUCUAUUCCUUUGGGCUUCUGAGGAGGAGAAAUUGUUGGAAUAUUAUGAAAGAGUCCCGGGAGCCAGGAUGCAUGCCAGUUUCAUACAAGUUGGUGGAGUGGCACAAGAUCUGUCUCUUAGCCUAUGUCGAGAUAUUGAUUCCUCCACACAACAAUUUGCCUCUUGUAUCGACGAAUUAGAAGAGAUGUCAACCAACAGCCGUAUCUGAAAACAACGAUUAGUAGAUAUUGGUACUGUCACAGCUGAACAAGCAAAGGAUUGGGGAUUUGGUGGUGUAAUGUUAAGAGGUCAUGCGACAUGA